RNAcentral lists this unclassified non-coding RNA (232 nucleotides) under plant metagenome. Its description in RNAcentral is "partial contains small subunit ribosomal RNA, internal transcribed spacer 1, and 5.8S ribosomal RNA". The stretch from base 1 to 53 matches the Rfam family "Eukaryotic small subunit ribosomal RNA", at positions 1778 to 1831 of the family's 1831-position model. The record is from RNAcentral.
GGAAGUAAAAGUCGAACAAGGUUUCCGUAGGUGAACCUGCGGAAGGAUCAUUCAUAAUAAAGUGUUUUAUGGCACUUUUUAAAAAUCCAUAUCCACCUUGUGUGCAAUGUUAGAUCUCGUCAAUCUUGGCGAGAUUUUUAUACAUCAACUCAUUUUUUAACUAAUUUGUCUGAAAAAUAUUAUGAAUACUUAAUUCAAAAUACAACUUUCAACAACGGAUCUCUUGGCUCUC